Molecule: transfer RNA, 77 nt
Filed under: Dehalococcoidia bacterium
Lineage: Bacteria; Bacillati; Chloroflexota; Dehalococcoidia
Description: tRNA-Trp
Rfam family: tRNA
About the family: Transfer RNA (tRNA) molecules are approximately 80 nucleotides in length. Their secondary structure includes four short double-helical elements and three loops (D, anti-codon, and T loops).
Source: RNAcentral
AGGAGUGUAGCUCAGUUUGGUAGAGCAGCGGUCUCCAAAACCGCCGGUCAGGGGUUCGAAUCCUCUCACUCCUGCCA